RNAcentral lists this microRNA (22 nucleotides) under Gallus gallus (chicken). Its description in RNAcentral is "gga-miR-1564-3p". The record is from miRBase by way of RNAcentral. Lineage: Eukaryota; Metazoa; Chordata; Aves; Galliformes; Phasianidae.
CUCCUCUGCCGUGCUGGUUGUG